GGAGGAUUACCCAAGUCCGGCUGAAGGGAACGGUCUUGAAAACCGUCAGGCGAUGAGAGUCGCGCGUGGGUUCGAAUCCCACAUCCUCCU
Molecule: transfer RNA, 90 nt
Rfam family: tRNA
About the family: Transfer RNA (tRNA) molecules are approximately 80 nucleotides in length. Their secondary structure includes four short double-helical elements and three loops (D, anti-codon, and T loops). Further hydrogen bonds mediate the characteristic L-shaped molecular structure. tRNAs have two regions of fundamental functional importance: the anti-codon, which is responsible for specific mRNA codon recognition, and the 3' end, to which the tRNAs corresponding amino acid is attached (by aminoacyl-tRNA synthetases). tRNAs cope with the degeneracy of the genetic code in two manners: having more than one tRNA (with a specific anti-codon) for a particular amino acid; and 'wobble' base-pairing, i.e. permitting non-standard base-pairing at the 3rd anti-codon position.